Non-coding RNA from Prunus avium (sweet cherry), 421 nucleotides. The record is from RefSeq and is a predicted model, not a curated record. Lineage: Eukaryota; Viridiplantae; Streptophyta; Magnoliopsida; Rosales; Rosaceae.
UGGAAUUUCAUUCUCUGAAUUUCAAAAAUCAGAUUUUUGAAACCCUAUUUCCUGUAAAAAAAAAUUCCACUCAAUACCACUAAAGCUAAAAAUCGGGUUUUGGUUUGAAAGUCGUUUGCUUUUCUUCGAAAUAAUCAAAAGGGCUUUGAGAAGCGUCUGCUUGGGUCUUUCUAUCACUCUUAUCACCAGAGGGAGACAGCGACCGGGCCAGUCUUUGAGUUUGACGAAGACCACUAUUUCGUGUUGCAGAGCUUGUUUGCAGUUUUGGCUUCAACUUCCCUCAAGCUUCUAUCUCAAACAGACUCAACUACAACAAACAAGUUGAAUUUUGAAGUUACAUGAGUGGCGUCAGACAGAGGACCCUCGGGGGUGGGGGUCAGCAUGUGUUAGACUAUCUGAAACGAAUGCAAGCAGAAAAUCC